AAAGGAAUUGACGGGGCCCGCACAAGCGGUGGAGCAUGUGUUAAUUCGAAGCAACGCGAAGAACCUUACCAGGUCUUGACAUCCCGAUGCUAUUUCUAGAGAUAGAAAGUUACUUCGGUACAUCGGUGACAGGUGGUGCAUGGUUGUCGUCAGCUCGUGUCGUGAGAUGUUGGGUUAAGUCCCGCAACGAGCGCAACCCCUAUUGUUAGUUGCCAUCAUUCAGUUGGGCACUCUAGCGAGACUGCCGGUAAUAAACCGGAGGAAGGUGGGGAUGACGUCAAAUCAUCAUGCCCCUUAUGACCUGGGCUACACACGUGCUACAAUGGUUGGUACAACGAGUUGCGAGUCGGUGACGGCGAGCUAAUCUCUUAAAGCCAAUCUCAGUUCGGAUUGUAGGCUGCAACUCGCCUACAUGAAGUCGGAAUCGCUAGUAAUCGCGGAUCAGCACGCCGCGGUGAAUACGUUCCCGGGCCUU
RNAcentral lists this ribosomal RNA (475 nucleotides) under uncultured Streptococcus sp. Its description in RNAcentral is "bacterial SSU rRNA". It matches the Rfam family "Bacterial small subunit ribosomal RNA", at positions 903 to 1382 of the family's 1533-position model. The record is from RNAcentral. Lineage: Bacteria; Bacillati; Bacillota; Bacilli; Lactobacillales; Streptococcaceae.